AUGGGGGCCGGUCUCUUUGGAUACAUCGACCAAACCAUAACCGAACCACCAAAAACCCUAACCAGCAAAACCUCCGAGGGCAAAGAUCAGGUUGUUCCAAACCCUGCUUAUGCGCCUUGGUUGAUCCAAGAUCAACAGAUCAUCACCUACUUGCUCCGCAACCUCUCCAAGAAAGUGUUAGUUCAAGUAGCUUCCCUAGAAACUUCUGCCGCCAUAUGGUCAGCUCUUGCCAAUAUGUUCUCUGCCCAAUCCAGAUCCAAAGCCAACCAUGUCCGCAUAUCCCUCACCACCGCCCAGAAAGGAACCCAAUCCGCCUCUGUGUACUUUGGGCACAUG
RNAcentral lists this ribosomal RNA (336 nucleotides) under Triticum aestivum (bread wheat). Its description in RNAcentral is "partial small subunit ribosomal RNA". The record is from RNAcentral. Lineage: Eukaryota; Viridiplantae; Streptophyta; Magnoliopsida; Poales; Poaceae.